GACGAACGCUGGCGGCGUGCUUAACACAUGCAAGUCGAACGGAAAGGCCCUGCUUUUGUGGGGUGCUCGAGUGGCGAACGGGUGAGUAACACGUGAGUAACCUGCCCUUGACUUUGGGAUAACUUCAGGAAACUGGGGCUAAUACCGGAUAGGAGCUCCUGCUGCAUGGUGGGGGUAGGAAAGUUUCGGCGGUUGGGGAUGGACUCGCGGCUUAUCAGCUUGUUGGUGGGGUAGUGGCUUACCAAGGCUUUGACGGGUAGCCGGCCUGAGGGGGUGACCGGGCACAAUGGGACUACGAGACGGCGCAGACUCCUACGGGAGGCAGCAGUGGGGAAUAUUGUACAGUGGGCGGAAGCCUGAGGCGGCGACGCCGCGGGCGGGAUGCCGGCCUGCGGGUUGUAAACCGCUUUCGCCUGUGACGAAGCGUGAGUGACGGUAAUGGGUAAAGAAGCACCGGCUAACUACGUG
This 468-nucleotide ribosomal RNA is filed under the name uncultured bacterium. RNAcentral describes it as "partial 16S ribosomal RNA". It matches the Rfam family "Bacterial small subunit ribosomal RNA", at positions 28 to 507 of the family's 1533-position model. The record is from RNAcentral.